RNAcentral lists this transfer RNA (76 nucleotides) under Ruminococcus flavefaciens. RNAcentral's name for it is "tRNA-Lys". It matches the Rfam family "tRNA". Rfam says of the family: Transfer RNA (tRNA) molecules are approximately 80 nucleotides in length. Their secondary structure includes four short double-helical elements and three loops (D, anti-codon, and T loops). The record is from RNAcentral. RNAcentral also lists the same sequence under 5 other names. Lineage: Bacteria; Bacillati; Bacillota; Clostridia; Eubacteriales; Oscillospiraceae.
GCACCAUUAGCUCAGUCGGUAGAGCAACUGACUCUUAAUCAGUGGGUCCUGGGUUCGAGUCCCCGAUGGUGCACCA